AUUGAACGCUGGCGGCAUGCUUUACACAUGCAAGUCGGACGGCAGCACCGAGAAGCUUGCUUCUUGGGUGGCGAGUGGCGAACGGGUGAGUAAUAUAUCGGAACGUACCGAGUAAUGGGGGAUAACUAAUCGAAAGAUUAGCUAAUACCGCAUAUUCUUUGCGGAGGAAUGCAGGGGACCUUCGUUCCUUGCGUUAUUCGAGCGGCCGAUAUCUGAUUAGCUAGUCGGGGGGGUAAAGGCCUACCAAGGCGGCGAUCAGUAGCGGGUCUGAAAGGAUGAUCCGACACACGGUGAGUGAGACACGGCCCACACUCCUGCGGGAGGCAGCAGUGGAGAAUUCUAGACAAUGGGGCAGAGCCGGAUACAGGCAUGCCGCGUGUCUGCAGAAGCCCUACGGGUGGGAAAGGGAUUAAGUCAGGGAGGAAAAGGCUGUUGCUAAUACCGACAGACGAUGACGGUACCUGAAGAAUAAGCACCGGCUAACUACGUG
RNAcentral lists this ribosomal RNA (490 nucleotides) under uncultured bacterium. RNAcentral's name for it is "partial 16S ribosomal RNA". It matches the Rfam family "Bacterial small subunit ribosomal RNA", at positions 30 to 507 of the family's 1533-position model. The record is from RNAcentral.